UUUAUCCACUAAUUCUUGCAACUGAACUUUCAAUUCCCUUAAUUCAGCAGGAGCCAUUUUAUAAGAAGUCAAAAAUAUAGGAUUUGUACCUGGAAGCAGAUCAAUAACAAACUCCACAUCUCUAUCUGGUGGCAAUCCAGGCAAAUCCUCAGGGAAUACAUCUGGAAAAUACCUAACCACAUAUACAUCCUCCACAUUACUAGGAGCAUCAUCGUUCAGUACCACAUAAGCCAAAUAUCCUUGACAACCUUUCGACAACAAUCUUUUGGCUUUCAUGGCAGAAAUAAUACCAUGCCUCACUCUACUAGGCUCUCAUACAAAUGUAACUUCAGGUAAUCCAGGACGAUGAAAGGUGAUUGUCUUUCCAUAACAAUCUAUCUUGGCAUGAUUAUAAUGCAACCAAUCAGUGCCUAAAAUCACAUCAAAAUCCAUAAUAUCCAAUGGCAUAAGAUUAGAUGGCAUAACAACAUCCUCUAUCAUCAUUGGACAUCCUAGAUAUACCCGAUCCACAAAACAUCUAUCCCCUAUAGGCAUAGAA
Molecule: long non-coding RNA, 538 nt
Filed under: Malus domestica (apple)
Lineage: Eukaryota; Viridiplantae; Streptophyta; Magnoliopsida; Rosales; Rosaceae
Description: long non-coding RNA (MDOM_LNC012824)
Source: RNAcentral